RNAcentral lists this ribosomal RNA (206 nucleotides) under Entrophospora lutea. RNAcentral describes it as "Claroideoglomus luteum ribosomal RNA". Lineage: Eukaryota; Fungi; Glomeromycota; Glomeromycetes; Entrophosporales; Entrophosporaceae. The record is from RNAcentral.
CAGUCGUGCUGGCGCGAAAUCAACCCUCUCGUCGAGAGGUCACAUGGCGUGGCGAGCCUCAAAACCGUCGCGAAGCGUGAACUCUUGGUGAAAUGGAGCACUUUCGUGUCCGCUGGUUAACAUCAAUUUCGAUCGUCAUAAAAGGCUGGAGGGAUGUGGCUCCUUCGGGAGUGUUAUAACCUUAGCGGAAUGUGGUGGUCGGGAUU